This is a long non-coding RNA of Vigna radiata var. radiata (mung bean), 1527 nucleotides long. RefSeq lists it as uncharacterized. The record is from RefSeq and is a predicted model, not a curated record. Lineage: Eukaryota; Viridiplantae; Streptophyta; Magnoliopsida; Fabales; Fabaceae. The transcript has 3 exons.
AUCCUAGAGAUGUCUUUACUUGUUUUCUACUCUACUCUCUUUCACUGUAUCUCAGAUUAAUCUANANUUUCUAUAUAAAUAUUGAGAACCUAAGAGAGACUUGCACAAGCUUCUCUAAGAUAUCUGCUCUCUCUUUUUUUUUUUCUCAAAUACAUACAAGUGCUUAUUUGGUGGAGCAGUUUCAUGUGCUUAGAAUAGAGAAGCCUUUAAUUUAAACCUGAAUAAAAAAAAUAAAUAGCUAUAAGUGCAGCAGACAAUCUUUUUAUUGGUAUUCAAUGUUUCAUUAAAUUUAUCAUACANCAAAUAUAAUAAAAACCACAAAGCAAUUAGAUAAACUUACUGGUGCACGUAUAGCAAUUUUUCCCACAGACAAGUUUAGAUCUGGCAGUUCCCGGAUGCAAUUUUUAUCUUUUGACUGACCUGUGUUUUCUACAUUGUCAAGACUACUUGAGGAUUUCCCAGGUUGGGAUUUUGAAUGUGCAGAUAAAUUUUCAGAACACGGGUGAUAAAUUAACUAUUCUGUUCUUAUUAAUGUUUUUCAGAACAGGAAGUUCCAGCAGUUUCAAGCCCNACAAUUUGUAAUCAUCGAAGUAUGCCGUAGUCUGUUUUGAUUGGAGAGCAUUUUUGUUUUAGGGUCUUUCAUUUUGUUAUUAGUAAUGCUUUNCNGUGUAUUAGUAUCUUUCUCUUGUUAUUGUGAAUACUUCUAAUUUGUCUGAUAUGAUCGAAACCUUGCUGACUGAGGCUCGUUAUCAGCUGUAACAUGAAUACCUGUCCCACCUGGGGAAUUCAUCCAGACAUGUUGCUUUGAGGGAAAAGUCUAUAACUGACAUUUUUAUUUUGUAUACUUCAAAGUUCGGAGCAGCUUUCUCUCGAGAAAUUGUGACCGCUCUGCAUGAUCUUGUAUAACGUCUACAACAACAUUUGUCUUCAUAAUGUUCACUAGGUACGCCAACGUUAUUUGAGGAACUGAGCAUAUUUUUCACAGGAUUCUUUGAUAUAUCUUUUCGGCGCCUUUGUUUAUUUGAUACAUGACCAUCAAUAUUUUCUUUGAUACAUGACCAAACAAUUCUGCCACAUUGUAGAAAUCAGCAUUUACAGUAUAUAAUUGUGUGCCAACAGUUUUUCCUUGAUUAAUCUCUGGCACAGAGACUGUCAUUUUCCCAGGAAUAGGAUCUCUUGCUGCUACAACAAUACAAUGUCUUGUCCCAUUAUAGUAUUCUUCUGUUGUCAUGAAAUUAGAAGGCCUUGGAAACAUCUCCUUUAUACAACAAUACAAUAUCAUGUUUUUAUUCAUUAGUAUGCAGUGCCUAUUUGUUUUAUGGUAUGCUUGGAUCGAUGUGUGUUUGGUUACAUGAUUCAGAUGAAUUGUACAAUUAUUGGAAUACUAUGCAAUAAUGUCCAAUGAAAAUGGAAUUUAGUUAGUGCUUUGGCUUUUGGUAUCUGUCUGUGUCAUAGUUAGCUUUAUUGGUUGUUGCAAUAAGAUUUAUAUGCAUAGUGUGAGAAGUAUUGGUCCAUUGCAUUUUAUAU